This 318-nucleotide long non-coding RNA is filed under the name Homo sapiens (human). RNAcentral describes it as "non-protein coding lnc-EIF4E-2:1". The record is from RNAcentral. Lineage: Eukaryota; Metazoa; Chordata; Mammalia; Primates; Hominidae.
AUGCCUUUCUUGGAUGUGCAAAAAAGGUCUGGCUUUAACAUAGAUUGAUGGAUGACAAUCCAAAGUGCUGAACAGCCCUACAAGAUUCCUGCUCAAUGCCAUGGGUUUGAAAAAGAAUGGAAAGAAUGUACAUAAGGAAUCCAUAGUAUCCGGGCAGAGAAAGAGUGCAAGAUAAAAUUUGAUGAUUUCAUAGUGUUUGUUUUGGCAGGAAACAAUCAGACGUGUGAGUACCAUCCAGAAGCAGCAGAACAAGCUAGUAAAGGAAGGGUAAUAUACCUCUCCACGUCACCAAUUCGGCAAGGGGAUACUAGGCCCUGA